AGCGAACGCUGGCGGCAGGCCUAACACAUGCAAGUCGAACGAACUCUUCGGAGUUAGUGGCGGACGGGUGAGUAACACGUGGGAACGUACCUUUCGGUUCGGAAUAACUCAGGGAAACUUGUGCUAAUACCGAAUGUGCCCUUCGGGGGAAGGAUUUAGGGCCAUUAGAGCGGCCCGCGUCUGAUUAGCGAGUUGGUGAGGUAACGGCGGACCAAGGCGACGAUCAGUGGCUGGUCGGAGAGGAUGCCCAGCGGGACUGGGAUUGGGACACGGCCCAUACGCCAGCGGGAGGCAGGAGUGGGGAAUCAUGGGCAAGGGGCGAAAGCCUGACGCAGCCAGGCCGGGUGAAUGAUGAAGGGGUUAGGAUUGUAAAAUUCUUUCACCGGGGACGAUAAUGACGGUACCGGGAGAAGAAGCCCCGGUUAAUUUCGG
RNAcentral lists this ribosomal RNA (432 nucleotides) under uncultured bacterium. RNAcentral describes it as "partial 16S ribosomal RNA". It matches the Rfam family "Bacterial small subunit ribosomal RNA", at positions 30 to 506 of the family's 1533-position model. The record is from RNAcentral.